This 253-nucleotide ribosomal RNA is filed under the name uncultured bacterium. RNAcentral describes it as "partial 16S ribosomal RNA". It matches the Rfam family "Bacterial small subunit ribosomal RNA", at positions 524 to 776 of the family's 1533-position model. The record is from RNAcentral.
UACGUAGGUGACAAGCGUUGUCCGGAUUUAUUGGGCGUAAAGAGCGCGCAGGCGGUCGGUCAAGUCGAGUGUGAAAGCCCCCGGCUCAACUGGGGAGGGUCAUUCGAUACUGAUCGACUCGAAGGCAGGAGAGGGUAGUGGAAUUCCCGGUGUAGUGGUGAAAUGCGUAGAUAUCGGGAGGAACACCAGUGGCGAAGGCGACUGCCUGGCCUGUUCUUGACGCUGAGGCGCGAAAGCGAGGGGAGCAAACGGG